Molecule: long non-coding RNA, 646 nt
Organism: Ornithodoros turicata
Lineage: Eukaryota; Metazoa; Arthropoda; Arachnida; Ixodida; Argasidae
Exons: 3
Source: RefSeq, a predicted model, not a curated record
UUGGCGGUUGCAGAUGCACAUGUGCGAGGUACGAGGUGUGGGUAAUUGCUGCUUCGUCUGAAGAUGAAUGACUUCGAGGAUUUCGGCAUCGAGCACGAUAGCGGAAGGAAGAUGUUCAGCAUUGUACAUUUUGAUGAGAGGGACGAAGUUUCUGUUGUUCCAUCAACCUGGCUAAUGGGAAGAAACAAAGUUUUAUGGCCACCUUACAAGAACUGCAAGAAAGUAGCCGUCGCAAUUAAAGCAUGCGAAAAUCCAUCAAGCAAUUGGUCACAGCACAACUGCCGGCUACUUUAUGAAUGUGACACAUAUGAAACAGCAAGGCAGAAAGAGCAAAAAGCUGCCAUGACAUCAGGUUUGACAACUGAUGAUGACAUGUGUGAACCAAAAAGGAAGCGGUGGCGCCCACAGCGAUUUGAGUCCUAUGAUGAGGAGAGCGCAUCAAUCAUGGGGGAUUCUUCUUGUUUUGUAAACAAGCCAGAAGAGCCUGUUUCACGUUCGCAGGCAACACCACAGUGUAUUCGUCGCCCAAGGCCUCUCUGCUUGUCCGCUUCCCGCGUGCAAGGAGCAGUUUCAACCUCAGAGCCAUCGCCAAAUUCUUCUACUGUGUCUGCUGAAUCCCAGCAACAAGAAAUACAGAAGUCACGAA